AAUCAACGCUGGCGGCGUGCCUCAGACAUGCAAGUCGAACGAUUAAAGCUCUCUUCGGAGAGUGUAUAGAGUGGCGCACGGGUGAGUAACACGUAAGUAAUCUACCCUCGAGUGGGGAAUAACAACCGGAAACGGUUGCUAAUACCGCAUAAUGCAGCGGCACCGCAAGGUGACAGUUGUUAAAGAUUUAUCGCUUGAGGAGGAGCUUGCGGCAGAUUAGCUAGUUGGUAGGGUAACGGCUUACCAAGGCUACGAUCUGUAACCGGUCUAAGAGGACGGUCGGUCACACUGACACUGAAUAACGGGUCAGACUCCUACGGGAGGCAGCAGUCGGGAAUUUUGGGCAAUGGGCGAAAGCCUGACCCAGCAACGCCGCGCGAAGGAUGAAGUAUUUCGGUAUGUAAACUUCGAAAGAAUAGGAAGAAUAAAUGACGGUACUAUUUAUAAGGUCCGGCUAACUACGUGCCAGCAGCCGCGGUAAGGAGCUGUCGU
Molecule: ribosomal RNA, 492 nt
Filed under: uncultured bacterium
Lineage: Bacteria
Description: bacterial SSU rRNA
Rfam family: Bacterial small subunit ribosomal RNA
Source: RNAcentral